Molecule: transfer RNA, 72 nt
Filed under: Phycisphaerae bacterium SG8_4
Lineage: Bacteria; Pseudomonadati; Planctomycetota; Phycisphaerae
Also listed under: 3 other names
Description: tRNA-Met
Rfam family: tRNA
About the family: Transfer RNA (tRNA) molecules are approximately 80 nucleotides in length.
Source: RNAcentral
GGGCCUGUAGCUCAGCGGUAGAGCAGUGGACUCAUAAUCCAUUGGUCGCAGGUUCGAAUCCUGCCGGGCCCA